CUGAACAGCUGCUUCCUGGUUCUCCACGUGCUGCCAGCAGCGCUGGAGCUGCCCGAGCCGCAGCGGAGCCGCUGUUCUCAGCUGCAGCCAGGAUCUGCCCCCGGCCCCGCUGGGAUCCAGACAGGCUGCAGAAUGUUUUGCUCCAGCUCAUCCCAGCCUGGCGUGGGACAGGGAAGAGAAAUGGCUGCAGUGGAGUCAGUCCAGGGGCUGGUGACCUUCAAGGAGAUGGCUAUGUAUUUCACCAGGGAAGAGUGGGCUCUGCUGGACCCCACUCAGAGAGCCCUCUACUGGGAUGUCAUGCAGGAGAACUAUGAGACUGUGACCUCGCUGGGUAAGGGUUCCUGUCCCUUCUGUUCUUGGAAGGGGAAAUGAAGA
Molecule: long non-coding RNA, 375 nt
Organism: Gopherus flavomarginatus (Mexican gopher tortoise)
Lineage: Eukaryota; Metazoa; Chordata; Testudines; Testudinidae
Exons: 3
Source: RefSeq, a predicted model, not a curated record